Molecule: ribosomal RNA, 253 nt
Filed under: uncultured bacterium
Lineage: Bacteria
Description: partial 16S ribosomal RNA
Rfam family: Bacterial small subunit ribosomal RNA
Source: RNAcentral
UACGUAGGGUGCAAGCGUUGUUCGGAUUUACUGGGCGUAAAGCGCGUGUAGGCGGCUUUGCAAGUCGGAUGUGAAAGCCCACGGCUCAACCGUGGAAGUGCAUCCGAAACUGCAUGGCUGGAGUCUCGGAGAGGAAGGUGGAAUGCUUGGUGUAGAGGUGAAAUUCGUAGAUAUCAAGCAGAACACCUGCGGCGAAGGCGGCCUUCUGGACGAUGACUGACGCUGAGACGCGAAAGCGUGGGGAGCAAACAGG